CACUCCCAGCUNGGGGAGGUAGUGACGAAAAAUANCGAUACGGGANUCAUCCGAGGCCCNGUAAUCGGAAUGAGUACACUUUAAAACNUUGGUCACACGAGGAUCAAUUGGAGGGCAAGUCUGGUGCCAGCAGCCGCGGUAAUUCCAGCUNCAAUAGCGUAUAUUAAAGUUGUUGCGGUUAAAAAGCUCGUAGUCGGAUCUGUGUCCUCGCGACGUCGGACCACCAUGUGCUGCCACGGUCUCCGUGCGCGGCCAGGUGUUUGUUCCCGGCGUGUCAGCGGGACGUCCUGCCGGUAGGCGGACACGUGUCCGUCGUGGCGCCUCGCGUCGCACGGAAGGCGGCCGCCGUUUAAAUCUGCGCGUGCGAUGCCCUUGUGGUUCGUACGGCGGGCCGGCACGUUUACUUUGAACAAAUUAGAGUGCUCAAAGCAGGCUUUAACGUGGCGGGGUACGCUCCGCGUGCCUNCGUCGUACAGCCCUGAAUAUGGUCGCAUGGAAUAAUGGAACAAGACCUCGGUCCCGCCUCUACGCUGUCCCGCAGCGCGUGAACGUAGCCCUCGCGGCCGUUCCGUGCGCGGGUCGCCGGUCGGGGCCCCG
This 597-nucleotide ribosomal RNA is filed under the name Diaspididae sp. CASENT0107796-D12. Its description in RNAcentral is "SSU rRNA". It matches the Rfam family "Eukaryotic small subunit ribosomal RNA", at positions 446 to 838 of the family's 1831-position model. The record is from RNAcentral. Lineage: Eukaryota; Metazoa; Arthropoda; Insecta; Hemiptera; Diaspididae.